This 85-nucleotide transfer RNA is filed under the name Balneola sp. RNAcentral's name for it is "tRNA-Leu". It matches the Rfam family "tRNA". Rfam says of the family: Transfer RNA (tRNA) molecules are approximately 80 nucleotides in length. Their secondary structure includes four short double-helical elements and three loops (D, anti-codon, and T loops). Lineage: Bacteria; Pseudomonadati; Balneolota; Balneolia; Balneolales; Balneolaceae. The record is from RNAcentral.
GCCAGAGUGGCGGAAUUGGUAGACGCGCACGACUCAAAAUCGUGUUCCUUCGGGAGUGUGGGUUCGAUUCCCACCUUUGGUACAA